CGCGUAGGCGGGGAUGUAAGUCAGACGUGAAAUCCCGGGGCUCAACCUCGGAACAGCAUUUGAAACUACAUCUCUCGAGGGUAGGCGGAGAAACGGAAUUCCACAAGUAGCGGUGAAAUGCGUAGAUAUGUGGAAGAACACCGGUGGCGAAGGCGGUUUUCUAGCUUAUUCCUGACGCUAAAGCGCGAAAGCAAGGGGAUCAAACA
This 206-nucleotide ribosomal RNA is filed under the name uncultured bacterium. Its description in RNAcentral is "partial 16S ribosomal RNA". It matches the Rfam family "Bacterial small subunit ribosomal RNA", at positions 568 to 774 of the family's 1533-position model. The record is from RNAcentral.